GCGCACGGGUGCGUAACGCGUAUGCAACCUACCUUUAACUGAGGAAUAGCUCCGAGAAAUCGGGAUUAAUCCCUCAUAAUAUUUUUGAAAGGCAUCUUUUAAAAAUUAAAGUUUCGACGGUUAUUGAUGGGCAUGCGUGGCAUUAGUUUGUUGGUGAGGUAACGGCUCACCAAGACAUCGAUGCCUAGGGGGCCUGAGAGGGUGAUCCCCCACACUGGUACUGAGACACGGACCAGACUCCUACGGGAGGCAGCAGUAAGGAAUAUUGGGCAAUGGACGAAAGUCUGACCCAGCCAUGCCGCGUGCAGGAUGACGGCCCUAGUGGUUGUAAACUGCUUUUAUACGGGAAGAAAAGUUCCAACGUGUUGGAAUGUGACUGUACCGUAUGAAUAAGCAUCGGCUAACUCCGUGCCAGCAGCCGCGGUAAUACGGAGGAUGCAAGCGUUAUCCGGAUUCAUUGGGUUUAAAGGGUGCGUAGGCGGAUUGGUAAGUCAGUGGUGAAAUCCUCUCGCUUAACGGGAGAAUUGCCGUUGAUACUAUCAAUCUUGAGUACACUUGAAGUGGGCGGAAUGUGUCAUGUAGCGGUGAAAUGCAUAGAUAUGACACAGAACACCGAUUGCGAAGGCAGCUCACUAAAUUGUAACUGACGCUGAGGCACGAAAGCGUGGGGAGCAAACAGGAUUAGAUACCCUGGUAGUCCACGCUGUAAACGAUGAUCACUAGCUGUUGGCGAUACACUGUCAGCGGCUGAGCGAAAGUAUUAAGUGAUCCACCUGGGGAGUACGAUCGCAAGGUUGAAACUCAAAGGAAUUGACGGGGGCCCGCACAAGCGGAGGAGCAUGUGGUUUAAUUCGAUGAUACGCGAGGAACCUCACCCAGGCUUAAAUGCUUUUUGACCGUCCUGGAAACAGGAUUUCCCUUCGGGGCAAAUUGCAAGGUGCUGCAUGGUUGUCGUCAGCUCGUGCCGUGAGGUGUCGGGUUAAGUCCCAUACCGAGCGCAACCCCUAUUAUUAGUUGCCAUCAGGUAAUGCUGGG
RNAcentral lists this ribosomal RNA (1035 nucleotides) under uncultured organism. Its description in RNAcentral is "bacterial SSU rRNA". It matches the Rfam family "Bacterial small subunit ribosomal RNA", at positions 98 to 1135 of the family's 1533-position model. The record is from RNAcentral.